RNAcentral lists this ribosomal RNA (1398 nucleotides) under uncultured bacterium. Its description in RNAcentral is "bacterial SSU rRNA". It matches the Rfam family "Bacterial small subunit ribosomal RNA". The record is from RNAcentral.
AGAGUUUGAUCCUGGCUCAGGAUGAACGCUAGCUACAGGCUUAACACAUGCAAGUCGAGGGGCAUCACGAGGAUAGCUUGCUAUCUUUGGUGGCGACCGGCGCACGGGUGAGUAACGCGUAUCCAACCUGCCAUUUACCGGGGCGCAGCCCGUCGAAAGACGGAUUAACGCCCCAUGAGGUACACGGAUGACAUCAGAAGAGUACCAAACGUGAGGGUAGAUGAUGGGGAUGCGUCUGAUUAGGAAGUUGGCGGGGUAACGGCCCACCAAUCCAUCGAUCAUUACGGGUUCUGAGAGGAAGGUUCCCCACAUUGGAACUGAGACACGGUCCAAACUCCUACGGGAGGCAACAGUGACGAAUAUUGGUCAAUGGGCGCGAGCCUGAACCAGCCAAGUAGCGUGCAGGAAGACGGCCCUAUGGGUUGUAAACUGCUUUUAUACGGGGAUAAAGUGAGCCACGUGUGGUUUAUUGCAGGUACCGUAUGAAUAAGGACCGGCUAAUUCCGUGCCAGCAGCCGCGGUAAUACGGAAGGUCCGGGCGUUAUCCGGAUUUAUUGGGUUUAAAGGGAGCGUAGGCUGGCUGUUAAGCGUGCCGUGAAAUGCGUGGGCUCAACCGACGCACUGCGGCGCGAACUGGCGGUCUUGAGUUGGCGGAAAGUGCGCGGAAUUUGUGGUGUAGCGGUGAAAUGCUUAGAUAUCACGAAGAACUCCGAUUGCGAAGGCAGCGCGCUGCAGCCAUACUGACGCUGAAGCUCGAAAGCGCGGGUAUCGAACAGGAUUAGAUACCCUGGUAGUCCGCGCGGUAAACGAUGGAUGCUCGCUGUUGGCGAUACACGGUCAGCGGCCAAGCGAAAGCGUUAAGCAUCCCACCUGGGGAGUACGCCGGCAACGGUGAAACUCAAAGGAAUUGACGGGGGCCCGCACAAGCGGAGGAACAUGUGGUUUAAUUCGAUGAUACGCGAGGAACCUUACCCGGGCUUGAAUUGCAGGAGAACGAUACAGAGAUGUUGAGGCCCUUUGGGGCUCCUGUGAGGGUGCUGCAUGGUUGUCGUCAGCUCGUGCCGUGAGGUGUUGGCUUAAGUGCCAUAACGAGCGCAACCCCUUUCCUCAGUUGCCAUCGGGCGAUGCCGGGCACUCUGGGGACACUGCCUCCGUAAGGAGUGAGGAAGGUGGGGAUGACGUCAAAUCAGCACGGCCCUUACGUCCGGGGCUACACACGUGUUACAAUGGGACAUACAGCGCGUCGGCGUCCGGCAACGUGCGUCAAAUCGUGAAAGUGUCCCCCAGUUCGGAUUGGGGUCUGCAACCCGACCCCAUGAAGCUGGAUUCGCUAGUAAUCGCGCAUCAGCCAUGGCGCGGUGAAUACGUUCCCGGGCCUUGUACUAACCGCCCGUCAAG